AUGUUCACGCGCUCCCCGUGGAGCGAAGCCCUGAGCCUCGCGCUGCCGCCUGCGCCCACGAGUCUCCAGCAGAGCCCAGAUCCGGAGCCUCCCAGGCCGCUCACUGCGGGGGGCGGGGGGGUCACAACCCUCCCUGGCGCCACUGCCACUCACCCCAUCCCUGUUUCUGAACCACUGGGUGCUCAGGGAACACGUGGGGGGCUGUGGGGCGAGGGGCUGGGCCAGGCCGGGGGGACAGUGGCCUCGGGGCGCAGGCCCGUCACCGAGUCCCCAGCAGUCCCCACCGUCGCGUGUGUCCCCACCUCCACCGCCGGCCAAGCGGGCCUCGACUUCCCCCCGAGCCCCGGCAGGUCCCCCGGCCGGGCGGGCCUCGACUUCCCCCCGAGCCCCAGCAGGUGCAGAGCGAGCCUCGACUUCCCCCGAGCCCCGGCAGGUCCCCCGGCCGGGCGGGCCUCGACUUCCCUCGAGCCCCGGCAGGUGCAGAGCGAGACUCGACUUCCCCCGAGCCCCCGCGGGUCCCCCGGCCGGGCGGGCCUCGACUUCCCCCUGAGCCCUAGCAGGUGCAGAGCGAGACUCGACUUCCCCCAGCCCCGGCAGGUCCCCCGGCCGCGCGGGCCUCGACUUCCCUCGAGCCCCGGCAGGUGCACCGGCCGGGCGGGCCUCGACUUCCCCCCGAGCCCCAGCAGGUGCAGAGCGAGCCUCGACUUCCCCCGAGCCCCCCGGGCAGGUCCCCCGGCCGGGCGGGCCUCGACUUCCCCCCGAGCCCCAGCAGGUGCCGCGCGGGCCUCGACUUCCCCCCGAGCCCCAGCAGGUGCCGAGCGGCCUCGACUUCCCCCAGAGCCCCGGCAGGUGCCCCCGGCCAGGCGGCGCCUCGACUUCCCCCCGAGCCCCAGCAGGUGCCGCGCGGGCCUCGACUUCCCCCAGCCCCGGCAGGUCCCCCGGCCGCGCGGGCCUCGCCUCCCGGGGCGCGGCCCCGCCCUCCCUGGGGACCCGCGGAGGAGCGGCGGCGCCCGGUGA
This 1017-nucleotide long non-coding RNA is filed under the name Canis lupus familiaris (dog). RNAcentral's name for it is "lncRNA (ENSCAFG00000051650.1)". Lineage: Eukaryota; Metazoa; Chordata; Mammalia; Carnivora; Canidae. The record is from RNAcentral.